AAUCCAUAGGUUAAUGAGGCGAACCGGGGGAACUGAAACAUCUAAGUACCCCGAGGAAAAGAAAUCAACCGAGAUUCCCCCAGUAGCGGCGAGCGAACGGGGAGGAGCCCAGAGCCUGAAUCAGCAUGUGUGUUAGUGGAAGCGUCUGGAAAGGCGCGCGAUACAGGGUGACAGCCCCGUACACAAAAGCGCAUGUGCUGUGAGCUCGAUGAGUAGGGCGGGACACGUGGUAUCCUGUCUGAAUAUGGGGGGACCAUCCUCCAAGGCUAAAUACUCCUGACUGACCGAUAGUGAACCAGUACCGUGAGGGAAAGGCGAAAAGAACCCCGGCGAGGGGAGUGAAAAAGAACCUGAAACCGUGUACGUACAAGCAGUGGGAGCCCCACCACUAAGCCAGUGGUGAACUCCACAUACGCAUCCUUUGCUGAGGAUACGGUUAACGGAGCGAAAGCGACGUUCAACCUCAAAAGAAGCAGAGGGGGCUUAGUGGUGGGGUGACUGCGUACCUUUUGU
RNAcentral lists this ribosomal RNA (513 nucleotides) under Salmonella enterica subsp. enterica serovar Senftenberg. RNAcentral describes it as "partial 23S ribosomal RNA". It matches the Rfam family "Bacterial large subunit ribosomal RNA", at positions 161 to 611 of the family's 2925-position model. The record is from RNAcentral. Lineage: Bacteria; Pseudomonadati; Pseudomonadota; Gammaproteobacteria; Enterobacterales; Enterobacteriaceae.